Small nucleolar RNA from Suncus etruscus (white-toothed pygmy shrew), 209 nucleotides. RefSeq annotates it as small nucleolar RNA U3. Lineage: Eukaryota; Metazoa; Chordata; Mammalia; Eulipotyphla; Soricidae. The record is from RefSeq and is a predicted model, not a curated record. The transcript has a single exon.
AAGACUAUACUAAGCGAUCAUUUCUAUAGUAUGUUACUAGAGAAGUUUAUCUGAUCAUAGAUCAUCUGAAACCACGAGGAAGAGCCAGAGUGUCCUCUCCUGAGCGUGAAGUUGGUUUUAGGUAUUGCUUUUGCAACUGCCUUUUGCCAUUGAUGAUCAUUCUUCCUUUCUUUGGAAGAGUUAGAGGGAGAGGAUCCAGUCUGAAUGGU